UGAACGCUGGCGGCAUGCCUAAGACAUGCAAGUCGAACGCUGAAGCUCUAGCUUGCUAGAGUGGAUGAGUGGCGAACGGGUGAGUAACAGGUAGGUAACCUACCCUAAAGACGGGGAUAACAUCUGGAAACGGAUGCUAAUACCGGAUAGGAUAACAUCUCGCAUGGGAAGUUAUUUAAAGGUGCGUAUGCAUCACUAUAGGAGGGACCUGCUUCGUAUUAGCUAGUUGGUAAGGUAACGGCUUACCAAGGCAACGAUGCGUAGCCGAGCUGAGAGGCUGAUCGGCCACACUGGGACUGAGACACGGCCCAGACUCCUACGGGAGGCAGCAGUUAGGAAUAUUCGGCAAUGGGGGCAACCCUGACCGAGCAAUGCCGCGUGAACGAAGAAGUAUUUCGAUAUGUAAAGUUCUGUUGUCGAGGAAGAAAGGUAGUGAUAGGAAAUGAUCAUUAUUUGACGGUAUUCGACCAGAAAGGUCCGGCUAACUACGUG
This 492-nucleotide ribosomal RNA is filed under the name uncultured bacterium. RNAcentral's name for it is "bacterial SSU rRNA". It matches the Rfam family "Bacterial small subunit ribosomal RNA", at positions 30 to 507 of the family's 1533-position model. The record is from RNAcentral.